UAACUUGCCUUUUAAUUGAAGGAUAGAAUGAAAGGAGUCACGACUAACCAACUUUCUAGAAUUUACCCUAAUGAAUUUUACUAAAAAGUAAAAAGGCUUUUACCACAAAGAAGGACAACAAGACCCCGACGAACUCCUCCUACUCAGCUGGGGCAGCUAAAAACCAAAAACCUUUAUUACAUCUCCACACCGACCCAAUAAUAUUGACCAAAGACCGAGUUACCGCGGGGAUAACAGCAUAAUCAGACACCAGAGACCCUAUCCAAUGUCUGCCCUUUGACCUCGAUGUUGAAUUAAUAAAGCUACAUUAAGCAAAAAGAAUGCAAGCAGGUCUGUUCGACCUUUAAUAAAUUACAUGAUUUGAGUUCAGACCGGCGCAAGCCAGGUCAGUUUAUAUCCUCUUGCAACCCAGUGUUAGUACGAAAGGACCACACAAAGAUUAAUA
This 445-nucleotide ribosomal RNA is filed under the name Sicarius saci. RNAcentral's name for it is "partial 16S ribosomal RNA". It matches the Rfam family "Bacterial large subunit ribosomal RNA", at positions 1965 to 2711 of the family's 2925-position model. The record is from RNAcentral. Lineage: Eukaryota; Metazoa; Arthropoda; Arachnida; Araneae; Sicariidae.